This 470-nucleotide long non-coding RNA is filed under the name Salvia miltiorrhiza (redroot sage). RNAcentral's name for it is "long non-coding RNA (SMIL_LNC009057)". Lineage: Eukaryota; Viridiplantae; Streptophyta; Magnoliopsida; Lamiales; Lamiaceae. The record is from RNAcentral.
UUUCUACGAACAUAUCGACGAAUAUUAGUAUGUUCAUUAGUAUUUCUACGAACACUACAUUGUUGAUAUGCAGAUCUGCAGAUCCGGCGGCAGCGCGGCGAUCGCCACCACAAGCGUCCACGUGACCGCCCUGGACGGCCUAGUGAAUGUGAACUCCCUCUUCACCAUCACCGUCUUCGUCGGCCGCUCCUUGGCGACGCCGACGUCGACUGAUUGGGGAGAUUGGGGAGGGAGGCGAGGGAAGAGGGAAUGGAGGGGACGGCGGCGGUCUCGGAGGGGACGGUGGAUGAGACGGAGGAGAAGAUGGAGGUGAGGAGCAGCAGCAGGAGAAGGAGGCGGCGCUAGAUCUGAAAAAGGAAAGAGCGGCAGCGACGAUGGUUGUUGGACUGCUUUCGAAGGGAGGCAGAUCAAGAGGAGAGUGAUUUCCAGUAGGAGAGACCGAAAGAUGAGAGGCGCCAACUGCUGCCGGC